CCUACGGGAGGCAGCAGUGGGGAAUAUUGGGCAAUGGACGAAACUCUGACCCAGCAACGCCGCGUGAAUGAUGAAGGUCUUCGGAUUGUUAAGUUCUUUUCUUAGGGAAGCAGAACGUGACGGUACCUUUGGAAUAAGCCUCGGCUACCUACGUGCCAGCAGCAGCGGUAAUACGUAGGAGGCAAGCGUUAUCCGGAUUGACUGGGCGUAAAGGGUGCGUAGGUGUAGUGACAAUUUGGUAGCGUAACUCCGGGGCUCAACCUGGGAACUGCUACCAAUACUGUCGGACUUGAGAGCAGGAGGGGCAAACGGAAUGCAUAGUGUAGCGGGGGAAUGCGUAGAUAUUAGGAGGAACACCAGUUGCGAAGGCGAUUUGCGGGACUGUAACUGACACUGAGGCACGAAAGCGUGGGGAGCAAACAGGAUUAGAUACCCUAGUAGUC
Molecule: ribosomal RNA, 443 nt
Filed under: uncultured bacterium
Lineage: Bacteria
Description: partial 16S ribosomal RNA
Rfam family: Bacterial small subunit ribosomal RNA
Source: RNAcentral